RNAcentral lists this microRNA precursor (103 nucleotides) under Marmota monax (woodchuck). The record is from RNAcentral. Lineage: Eukaryota; Metazoa; Chordata; Mammalia; Rodentia; Sciuridae.
AGUGGGAUAGCUGGGUCAAAUGGUGGCUCCAUUCCCAGUUUUCCAAGGAAUCUCCACACUGUUUUCCAGAUUGGAUGCACCAAUUUACAGUACCACCAGCAGU